Cinara cedri is the source of this 207-nucleotide non-coding RNA. NCBI's taxonomy places the organism in Eukaryota, Metazoa, Arthropoda, Insecta, Hemiptera, Aphididae. The record is from the annotation of a GenBank genome assembly.
AUAUGUUUUUAAAUUUUGAUUUUUAAUUUUAAUGAAAAUAUUGCUCUUUCCUAAAACCAACUCGAGAUCUUAGUAGCAAUAUUGGAUAUUUCUUAGCAAACAUAUAUUCUAUAGUCUCGAUCAGCAAAAGUUUCAUAACUCCUUGAUAAGCGAACAUUUUUAGUCUUUGCCGUGUUGUGUCCUGUAAUAGAUCUUUGUUUAGGCAUG